GUGCUCCCCCGCCAAUUCCUUUAAGUUUCAACCUUGCGGUCGUACUUCCCAAGUGGCCCGCUUCACGGCUUCCCUACGGCACCACGGCAGUUCACGACUGCCGUGACACCUAGCGGGCAUCGUUUACGGCUAGGACUACCCGGGUAUCUAAUCCGGUUCGUGCCCCUAGCUUUCGUCCCUCACCGUCGGACCUGUUCUGGUAGGACGCCUUCGCCACCGGUGGUCCCCAGAGGAUUACAGGAUUUCACUCCUACCCCCUGAGUACCUCCUACCUCUCCCAGUCCCAAGCAAUGUAGUAUCCCGCAGACGCCCAACGGUUAAGCCGCUGGAUUUCCCACAAGACUUGCAAAGCUGGCUACGGGCCCUUUAGACUCAAUAAUAUCGGCCACCACUCGAGCCGCCGGUAUUACCGCGGCGGCUGGCACCGGUCUUGCCCGGCCCUUGCUAACAGCCGUUUUUUAGACAGCUGGACAGACACCUAAUGUAGAUGCCACUCGAUGUUCCCCUAUCGCAGUUGCCUGCAUUGUAGAGUUUUCGCGCCUGCUGCGCCCCGUAGGGCCUGGAUUCGUGUCUCAGAAUCCAUCUCCGGGCUCUUGCUCCCACAACCCGUACUGAUAAUCGGCACGCCGGUACUUUACACCGGCGUCAACCUAAUCAGCCGCAGACCCAUCCAAAGGCGCCAGAGCUUUCAAUCAAAAAACCCUUCCAGUACUCUUGACCUAUCCGGUAUUAUCCCCAGUCUCCCGGAGUUAUCCCAGACCUUUGGGUAGGUUGUCCACGUGUUACUGAGCCGU
Molecule: ribosomal RNA, 794 nt
Filed under: uncultured Methanosarcinaceae archaeon
Lineage: Archaea; Methanobacteriati; Methanobacteriota; Methanomicrobia; Methanosarcinales; Methanosarcinaceae
Description: partial 16S ribosomal RNA
Source: RNAcentral